GAAUAUUGGUCAAUGGACGAAAGUCUGAACCAGCCAUGCCGCGUGCAGGAUGACGGCCCUAUGGGUUGUAAACUGCUUUUCUACAGGAAUCAACCCCUUUACGUGUAAAGGGCUGAAGGUACUGUAGGAAUAAGGAUCGGCUAACUCCGUGCCCGCCGCCGCGGUAAUACGGAGGAUCCAAGCGUUAUCCGGAUUCAUUGGGUUUAAAGGGUCCGCAGGCGGGAUAUUAAGUCAGUGGUGAAAUCGUACGGCUUAACCGUGCAACUGCCAUUGAUACUGGUAUUCUUGAGUAUAGUUGAGGUGGGCGGAAUAUGUCAUGUAGCGGUGAAAUGCAUAGAUAUGACAUAGAACACCGAUUGCGAAGGCAGCUCACUAAACUAUUACUGACGCUCAGGGACGAAAGCGUGGGGAGCGAACAGG
Molecule: ribosomal RNA, 420 nt
Filed under: uncultured bacterium
Lineage: Bacteria
Description: bacterial SSU rRNA
Rfam family: Bacterial small subunit ribosomal RNA
Source: RNAcentral